RNAcentral lists this ribosomal RNA (433 nucleotides) under uncultured bacterium. Its description in RNAcentral is "partial 16S ribosomal RNA". It matches the Rfam family "Bacterial small subunit ribosomal RNA", at positions 29 to 507 of the family's 1533-position model. The record is from RNAcentral.
AACGAACGCUGGCGGCAUGCCUAACACAUGCAAGUCGAACGAGACCUUCGGGUCUAGUGGCGCACGGGUGCGUAACGCGUGGGAACCUGCCCUUAGGUUCGGAAUAACUCCCCGAAAGGGGUGCUAAUACCGGAUAAUGUCUUCGGACCAAAGAUUUAUCGCCUUUGGAUGGGCCCGCGUUGGAUUAGCUAGUUGGUAGGGUAAAAGCCUACCAAGGCGACGAUCCAUAGCUGGUCUGAGAGGAUGAUCAGCCACACUGGGACUGAGACACGGCCCAGACUCCUACGGGAAGCAGCAGUGGGGAAUAUUGGACAAGGGGCGAAAGCCUGAUACAGCAAUGCCGCGUGAGUGAUGAAGGCCUUAGGGUUGUAAAGCUCUUUUACCCGGGAUGAUAAUGACAGUACCGGGAGAAUAAGCGCCGGCUAACUCCGUG